UACGUAGGGACCAAGCGUUGUUCGGAUUCACUGGGCGUAAAGGGUGCGUAGGCGGUUCUGAAAGUCUGAUGUGAAAUCUCCAGGCCCAACCUGGAAAUGGCAUUAGAAACUACAGGGCUAGAGGCUUGGAGGGGGAACUGGAAUGCUCGGUGUAGCAGUGAAAUGCGUAGAGAUCGAGCGGAACACCAGUGGCGAAGGCGAGUUCCUGGACAAGUCCUGACGCUGAGGCACGAAAGCCAGGGGAGCAAACAGG
Molecule: ribosomal RNA, 253 nt
Filed under: uncultured prokaryote
Description: partial 16S ribosomal RNA
Rfam family: Bacterial small subunit ribosomal RNA
Source: RNAcentral